Molecule: ribosomal RNA, 235 nt
Filed under: uncultured Eubacteriales bacterium
Lineage: Bacteria; Bacillati; Bacillota; Clostridia; Eubacteriales
Description: uncultured Clostridiales bacterium partial 16S ribosomal RNA
Rfam family: Bacterial small subunit ribosomal RNA
Source: RNAcentral
CGAACGGGUGAGUAACGCGUGAGCAACCUGCCUAUGACAGUGGGAUAGCCUCGGGAAACCGGGAUUAAUACCGCAUAAAAUCGUAGAAACACAUGUUUUAACGGUCAAAGAUUUAUCGGUCAUAGAUGGGCUCGCGCCUGAUUAGCUAGUUGGUGAGAUAACAGCCCACCAAGGCGACGAUCAGUAGCCGGUCUGGGAGGAUGAACGGCCACAUUGGAACUGAGACACGGUCCAA